AAGGCUCUAAACGUACCUUAUGGAUCAUGAUGAAAGGAACCAGGGUGCUGGCCUAGAGAUGAGAUGAUGUCAGGGAGGAGAGUUUUAGAUCUUCCAACAUAUGGAUGUUUCUCCUGUACAGUGAGGACUGGUUGGUGAUGAAGCGGGUUCAGCAUCAUCUGAAAACACAGUCAGUGCUUCCCAAAUAAUAAAUAGGUUUGGUUUGGGAGGUAAAUUCUUAAUUACUGUAUGUUCAAGAAAAUACUAACCAAUCAUAUCAUGAAUAUGUUAUACAGCAUAUUCAAGCACUAGAUGAAUAGCUUUAUUACAAAAGGGUAAGGCAUCUAAGAGUUUUUAAUAAGCUCUAUGUAUGUGUCUGGUAAUUAUCACUUCAAGGAACCGGAUAUGCGUAUAUCUACUUCUUGCAUAUUGUUUGUCUCCAUAAGAUUGUAAGAUCCUUUAGGAUAGGGGCCUUGCCAUUCCUACUCAUCACUUUACUGCCGUGCCUGGGAAAUAGCAGGUAUUCGGUGAACACUGUUGAAUAAAUGUUGGCAUUCCUUUCAACUGUCAAACAUCCCUGUGGGGUAGACACGGCCAUCCUCAGCUCACAAUGGUGAAAAUUAGAUCCACUAAGCUAUAAUAACUUGAUCAAUUUGCCCAAAUAGAACUAGCUCUGAUUCCAAAACCCAGGCUUGUCUCUACAUUUGAAAUGUUUAGGAAGGAAAAAAAGCAAACGAAAAAAACAAUAGGUAAAUAACCGGUCUGUUGCUGUGUAGACUGCUCCGCUCUACUUCCCUGUGUCACUUGUUGCCAUGGUUUCUUUUGUUAGCUCACCAGCCAACGGUGGUUUAACUAUUGAUCUAACUACUAAGCUAAAAUUAGACACUUGGAUAUUGAACACUUAUCCAGCCACGAGUCUGGGCCUCCCCGACCCUUAACUAUUGGAAUAUAACUGACCAAGAACUUCACCUGCUGCCCUCUGAAAUGUGUCACCGUGUUUGCUUGCACCAGUGCCAUGCUCCCCACAGCCAGGUCCCCACC
This 1020-nucleotide long non-coding RNA is filed under the name Canis lupus familiaris (dog). Its description in RNAcentral is "lncRNA (ENSCAFG00040014194.1)". The record is from RNAcentral. Lineage: Eukaryota; Metazoa; Chordata; Mammalia; Carnivora; Canidae.